AUUGAACGCUGGCGGCAUGCCUUACACAUGCAAGUCGAACGGCAGCGGACCUUCGGGUGCCGGCGAGUGGCGAACGGGUGAGUAAUGCAUCGGAACGUGCCAUUGAGUGGGGGAUAACGUAGCGAAAGUUACGCUAAUACCGCAUAUUCUGUGAGCAGGAAAGCAGGGGACCGCAAGGCCUUGCGCUCUUUGAGCGGCCGAUGUCAGAUUAGCUAGUUGGUGAGGUAAAGGCUUACCAAGGCGACGAUCUGUAGCGGGUCUGAGAGGAUGAUCCGCCACACUGGAACUGAGACACGGUCCAGACUCCUACGGGAGGCAGCAGUGGGGAAUUUUGGACAAUGGGCGCAAGCCUGAUCCAGCCAUGCCGCGUGAGUGAAGAAGGCCUUCGGGUUGUUAAA
Molecule: ribosomal RNA, 398 nt
Filed under: uncultured bacterium
Lineage: Bacteria
Description: bacterial SSU rRNA
Rfam family: Bacterial small subunit ribosomal RNA
Source: RNAcentral